RNAcentral lists this unclassified non-coding RNA (316 nucleotides) under plant metagenome. RNAcentral describes it as "partial contains 5.8S ribosomal RNA, internal transcribed spacer 2, and large subunit ribosomal RNA". The stretch from base 1 to 105 matches the Rfam family "5.8S ribosomal RNA", at positions 50 to 154 of the family's 154-position model. The record is from RNAcentral.
GAAAUGCGAUAAGUAAUGUGAAUUGCAGAAUUCAGUGAACCAUCGAAUCUUUGAACGCACAUUGCGCCCGCUGGUAUUCCGGCGGGCAUGCCUGUUCGAGCGUCAUUGCAAAUGCUACUCAAGCCGCGGCUUGGCAAUUGGGCUGGGCUUUGCUCGGCUCUAAAACGAGUGUUUUCCAGGGGCAGAGGCAGGUGGAUGCAGACCCGGGCGCUGAAAGCGAUUCCCCCGCGGCGUUGCGGAGCCAGCUGCCUCCUAGCCCCUGCAUAAAGCCUAGAAUUGACCUCGAAUCAGGUAGGGAUACCCGCUGAACUUAAGC